This 520-nucleotide ribosomal RNA is filed under the name uncultured prokaryote. RNAcentral describes it as "bacterial SSU rRNA". It matches the Rfam family "Bacterial small subunit ribosomal RNA", at positions 393 to 905 of the family's 1533-position model. The record is from RNAcentral.
GCUGCCUCGUGUGUUAAGACGGCCUUCGGAUUGUCAAGCACUUUCGGCGAGGAGGACAGGGUGUAAGUUAAUACCUUACGUCUGUGACGUUACUCGCAGAAUAAGCACCGGCUAACUCCGUGCCAGCAGCCGCGGUAAUACGGAGGGUGCGAGCGUUAAUCGGAAUUACUGGGCGUAAAGCGUGCGCAGGCGGUUUGUUAAGCCAGAUGUGAAAGCCCCGGGCUCAACCUGGGAACCGCAUUUCGAACUGGCAAACUACAGUCUUGUAGAGGGGGGUAGAAUUCCAUGUGUAGCGGUGAAAUGCGUAGAGAUCUGGAGGAAUACCGGUGGCGAAGGCGGCCCCCUGGACCAAGACUGACGCUCAGGCACGAAAGCGUGGGGAGCAAACAGGAUUAGAUACCCUGGUAGUCCACGCCGUAAACGAUGUCUACUCGGAGUUUGGUGUCUUGAACACUGGGCUCUCAAGCUAACGCAUUAAAUAAACCGCCUGGGGAGUACGGCCGCAAGGUCAAAACUCAAA